This 292-nucleotide ribosomal RNA is filed under the name uncultured bacterium. RNAcentral describes it as "partial 16S ribosomal RNA". It matches the Rfam family "Bacterial small subunit ribosomal RNA", at positions 505 to 796 of the family's 1533-position model. The record is from RNAcentral.
GUGUCAGCAGCCGCGGUAAAACGUAGGACGCAAGCGUUAUCCGGAGUUACUGGGCGUAAAGGGCGGGCAGGCGGUUCGUCAAGUGGGGUGUGAAAGCUCCCAGCUUAACUGGGAGAGGCCAUUCCAAACUGACGGACUGGAGGGCAGCAGAGGUAGGCGGAAUUCCGGGUGGAGUGGUGAAAUGCGUAGAGAUCCGGAGGAACACCAGAGGCGAAGGCGGCCUACUGGGCUGCACCUGACGCUGAACCGCGAAAGCUAGGGGAGCGAACGGGAUUAGAAACCCCUGUAGUCC